This 915-nucleotide long non-coding RNA is filed under the name Vigna radiata. RNAcentral describes it as "long non-coding RNA (VRAD_LNC017181)". Lineage: Eukaryota; Viridiplantae; Streptophyta; Magnoliopsida; Fabales; Fabaceae. The record is from RNAcentral.
UUUAAUAUUUUUAAUUAUGUUUUUUUUUGUUGUGUUUAAUGUUCAUUUUAAUUUAGUCAUCUACAUUCACAAAACAUUUCACUAAACCCCCUACUUCGUGUUAGACCUGAUUCUGAACCGCAGUUGGUCCUUGAGAGACGACCUAGGAGUCACUUCCUAGUCUAUACUGCAUUCUUUUAUGCUCAUUAAAUUUUGCAUGGGGUGCGACACCCAUCAGCGCUCCAUUAGGGUUCCUCUGAAAGUGUCUCCCAAGGAUGCACAUCACCCUCUCGAUGUCCUCGUAAUCCCUGUACUCCCCUGUAAGAGCAGCAUACCUACACUGGUCUCUUGGCCACUCAAUACCCAAAAAGUUAUUGAUGGUGUCGGGGUCAUACCUGAUGAUCUGGCCCCUCACAUAACUCAUGUACCUCCCAGCUGAUACUCCUCCUCUAGGCGAGGCGUUGGCAUAAAAUUCCUUCAUCAGCUCAAUGUUAGCUGGUGCAGGAUAGGUGGUCAAUCUCUCCCAGCCUCGCCUCUCUAUCUCCAGUCAAAACUCUAGAGCUAAAUCUGGAAUGUACACGACCUUUCUCUCCAUCAAUAAACGCCUCUCUUGUACAGUCACGUAAUGCUUCUCAUGCUUCUUAGAAAGGAACCGAGAAGAAUAAAAUCUCCUCAGCCUUUCUGGCUCCUUUCUCUUGUUGCCCAUGGUCUUCACUCUUCUUGAUGAUGACAUUCCUGUAUCAAAUAAGUUCAAUAGCUUGCUUUCAACAGUCCUAAUCUCCACUGUAACACCAAAUCCAUAAUUCUAGACCAAAUUCAUGCAAUUCAAUCAGUUCAAACAAUUUCUAUUUCAUCAAAUCAUGCAUAGAAAUCAAAAACCCUAAUUUAUCAUGUUCCUAAGCAUGUUCUUCAUCAACUUUCAAUUAGAAACCCUGA